GACGAACGCUGGCGGCGUGCUUAACACAUGCAAGUCGAACGGAAAGGCCCUGCUUUUGUGGGGUGCUCGAGUGGCGAACGGGUGAGUAACACGUGAGUAACCUGCCCUUGACUUUGGGAUAACUUCAGGAAACUGGGGCUAAUACCGGAUAGGAGCUCCUGCUGCAUGGUGGGGGUUGGAAAGUUUCGGCGGUUGGGGAUGGACUCGCGGCUUAUCAGCUUGUUGGUGGGGUAGUGGCUUACCAAGGCUUUGACGGGUAGCCGGCCUGAGAGGGUGACCGGCCACAUGGGGAAGGAGAUACGGCCAAGACUCCGAGGGGAGGAAGAAGGGGGGAAUAUUGCAAAAGGGGCGGAAGCCUGAUGCAGCAACGCCGCGUGCGGGAUGACGGCCUUCGGGUGGUAAACCGCUUGCGCCGGUGAAGAAGCGUGAGGGACGGUAAUGGGUAAAGAAGCACCGGAUAACUACGUG
Molecule: ribosomal RNA, 468 nt
Filed under: uncultured bacterium
Lineage: Bacteria
Description: partial 16S ribosomal RNA
Rfam family: Bacterial small subunit ribosomal RNA
Source: RNAcentral